Molecule: unclassified non-coding RNA, 297 nt
Filed under: plant metagenome
Description: partial contains small subunit ribosomal RNA and internal transcribed spacer 1
Rfam family: Eukaryotic small subunit ribosomal RNA (bases 1-46)
Source: RNAcentral
AAGUCGUAACAAGGUCUCCGUUGGUGAACCAGCGGAGGGAUCAUUGCGGAAUAACGCCUGUAACUACAGGCGCUGCCCAGAAACCCUUUUGUGAACUUAUACCUCAACUAUUGCCUCGGCAUUGGUUGGCUUCCUUCGUGAAGUCCCUUUUAGGCUCUUUUUCUUCUUUUUUUCGCAGAAAAAAAAGAAAAAUUCCAUUAGAAGGAGCAGAACCGGCCGGUGGCCCUCCUAUAAACUCUUUAAUUUUUUUGAAAAAAAUAGUAUCAUCUGAGUAGAACCAUUUUAAAUGAAUCAAAA